This is a long non-coding RNA of Pantherophis guttatus, 1934 nucleotides long. RefSeq lists it as uncharacterized. The record is from RefSeq and is a predicted model, not a curated record. Lineage: Eukaryota; Metazoa; Chordata; Lepidosauria; Squamata; Colubridae.
CGGAGAAAGAGAGAGAGAGAGAGGCGGCAGGCGGGGGAAGCGCCGUUCCCGACAACAGCCGCAGCAGGUGGCAGCGCUUGCUUGAGCUGGAAACUUGAGGAAAAUCAGCCUACUCAGGAGCUAAAAGCCAUGGAGAUGAUCCUUUGCCUCCAGUUUUAACAGAGCAGCAACUUUCUGAAGUACUGUAUGCUGUGACUCACUUCCAUGGUUGAGGAUGUUGUGACUCACUUCUAUGGUUGAGGGUGGACUUCAGUCUAAUUCUAAUACACUAUCUUAAUCACUGCCCCACUGUGGUUACACACUGAGAGAUAAUCAUACAUACAAGCAUGUACUUCCUAAUUUCUGUAAAUCAGGUUUCUGUACCCUAAAUGUCAUACAGAAAGCCUAUUUUUUUUCUGCUUGGAAACUAAGUAUUUUUGAGAAAGGUGAAUUACUCAAUCUUUGUGAAGUGCAAUUUUUUUAAAAAUGCAAAAUUCAAGUAUAUACAUGCUGGCAGGUAAUUCAUCCCAUGUUGCAUUUAUCCGCUGUAUUUUUUUUUUUAAUAAAACCACAUUUGUUCAAUGAACCAUGAUGCUGUUAUAUAUUUCUCAGACAUACUAUUUUGAGAAUGCUUUAUCUUUAAUGCUUAAAUCUCUUGCUAUUAGAGAUUUAAUGCUUAAAUCUUCCUGUUAGCAACAACCAAUUUCUGAACCUUUUCCACUUGAUGGAGAAAACAGCUGGAUAAAGUGAUUUAGAUGGUUAGAGACAGGAUUAAAUAUCAGCAAUAAAAAAUGUAACCAUCACUACCCUUCUAUAUCUUUUAAAUAUGUUAUUAGAAAUUGCACAAAAGGAUCAACUGGUAUAUAACAAUUUCAGGAGCGCUAGUGACAUAUCUGUCAUCAAGGAAAAAGAAGUUGUGUGUGUGUGUGUGUGUUUAAAUCUCUAAUCAUUACCAUCCUGAAAAUGGCAAGGAAUAAAAUGUUCAUUUCUGAUUAUUUUUUUAUAUUUUCAGCCACAGUCCCGUUGUUCAAUAGACGUAUAUCUCACAACUGUAUAUUAUAUGUGUAGUUAACCAAGACCAAGUCUAUUCUCAACCAUGGUAUCUCACUGAAUGAUUUUGAGUUACUUAUUGUCUCUUAGGCCAAUCUUUCCCAUAUCUUUUCUGUGUCUGCCUUCUGGACACCAUACCACCAAAGAUUAGGUUGUCCCACUUCUUCUUACCUUUUCGAAAGCCUUGAAAACAUUGCUCCCCAGGCAUGGACUUGGGAGUAACUGCUGAAGUAUGGUACGGUUGGCAGCCACUUUGAGUUUUAAUUGGUUGUGAAAUGUAUUUUAUAUUGUACUAUUAUUGUACUUUUUAAAUUUUUGUCAGUCUCCUUAUCAACUACUCAGAAUCUGGUUUUUUGAGAUGGGCAGCAAAUAUCUAUUUAAAUAAAUGUAUCUUAUCUUUCAGGAUUGUUUUUGCACAGUUAAAAUGAAAGGGGCUUCCCAUGUUUCCCAUGGAGGAAAAGCAGUCUUGUCAGUUUAUUGAAUACAAUAAAUAUGUCACAAUUAUAAAAGUAGCAGAAAAUUGGUGCUAUUGUAUACAAUCGUCUUGGGCAAACAUGUAUGUGAAAAUGACGGAAUACUUUUGGUGGGAUAUCCCAUCUGGGAUAAAGUUGAAAUGAUGGAUUUUUUCCCCCUAAAUAACCUGUUUAGAAUAAAUGUUGUGUACAUGAUCUAAUAUGAAUGGAAGACAAAAAUUAGAGCAACCCAUAACCAACAAACUAAUGUAUUGUAAUUCUGUCUAUGGACAACAGAGAAAGGUAAGUUGAACAGAAACAUGUCUUGCCAGCAAGAACAUGAGCUGAAGUGCUUUGUAGAAUACUGGGAAAUAAUGCUUAUUAAUGCAGAACUCCUGAUGGAACAAUGACCAUGACCAUUAAUGGUUAAAUAAAACACUGUUUUUCUUCCCC